UGUAGAUGUGCAUGCAGCUAUGACUCCUUUGGGCCCAGAGAUAAGCAACAGGGGAUCUCCAGUUGGGAACUGUGUUUCUCCCUACAUAUCACCGUCCCCCGUCAUCCAUCCUUGAGCAGUGAAAGGGGACACCAGCAGUGCUGUUGACACCCCUCCCACCAGAAGCCAGACAACGUGGCUGCUUGUGGUUGCUCAAGUGUUUUGUGUGUUGUUCUGUGUGGGACUCCAAGGGCUGAACUUGCUUGGCAAUUGGUGUCCAUUACCCCUGACACCAGGGAAAACUCAGAUGAAUGUAACACAGGCAGGGCACAAGGGACUUCAGGCCGGAGGAUAAACAGGAUCUAUUCUGCCCUCCCUCCCUCCUUCUGCCUCAUCUCUACCCCUUCUGCCACCCAAAGCACCCCGUUUCCCCACCCCGAAUUCCUUCUCUUCAGGAUCACGCCCAGUGCCUGAACCAGUCUCAUGAUGUAUGUUCAGGUGAAUUCUCAGCCGAGACUGGGAACCAGACUCUGCAUAAUUCUGAGUCUCAGGCUUUGGAAGCAGGCGAGCCUCUGCUCACCCCCUACUGUAUCCUCGGACUCCAUGACUGGAAUCGCCGACUACUGAAUCUCUGGAUUGCUGCUACUUCAAGCUCUCACACUUGAAACAAGACGAUUUUCUUGGGGGCGGGGG
RNAcentral lists this long non-coding RNA (672 nucleotides) under Rattus norvegicus (Norway rat). Its description in RNAcentral is "long non-coding RNA NONRATT023257". Lineage: Eukaryota; Metazoa; Chordata; Mammalia; Rodentia; Muridae. The record is from RNAcentral.